Scophthalmus maximus (turbot) is the source of this 2522-nucleotide long non-coding RNA. RefSeq lists it as uncharacterized. Lineage: Eukaryota; Metazoa; Chordata; Actinopteri; Pleuronectiformes; Scophthalmidae. The transcript is spliced from 11 exons. The record is from RefSeq and is a predicted model, not a curated record.
CCUGUUAUUAAAAUUUCUACUUUGAUGUAAAAAAAAAACAACCCUACGCUGCAGUUCUACAUGAGAGCAGCUCUGCAGAUUUGUGACACAAAUUCCCCUGCUCAUCAAUCCCACUUUACAUGUCAGCUCUAUUGUAAUUAAUGUGUUUUUUUGCAAUGCCUUCGAACAUAAGCGGCGGUAAUUGACUUAACUCUCCCUCCCUCUCUCUCCCUCUCCCCCUGUCUCGCUCGCUCCCUCGCUCUGACUAAUGAAGCGCAUGCGAGCGAGCUGGGGGGGAUCGAUGCCGGGUGAAAUAUGAAAGCUAGUCGGUCCACACGCACGAUUCAUUUCACAACGGAAAUUAAUUAUCAGUGUUAUUUUUGGAGGAGCAGAGUGGCAAUGAGUGAUUUCACAGAGGCAGGGAGCGGCGCAUGGUCACAAGUCGAAGAGUCUGUGCGCGGACGUCGCCAUUUCAGACUUCGUGGACCACGAGGCACCCGCACUGAAUGUGCACGGACUGCGGUCGAAAACGCGGCGUUGGCCUGACGGAUGAAGAGACCACAGUGGUGGGUGGUCCAAGAGGCCGUGGUUUCACUGAGGAAUCUCCCUUAAGACGUUCUGGAUUUAUCACUGUCCGAGGCAGCCGCGGCAAACCCACACGCAGACGCAAAUGGGCGGAGGCCUCUCGGAUUCCUCUCUUGCACCCGUGCCAGAUCCGCCAAGGGUGGCAGCACCCAGAGCCGGGCUCGGCGCCAACCCACCCGGGACCUUUUGUGACCCGAGAUCCACGCAGCAGGGGAUCGUGCGUCCCAACAAGGGGACACUUCUUCGCAGUAGCCUACUUACCCCUCCUUCUGUCGGGUUGGCGACCCAUCCCAGCUCCCCCUGCACGGAUCUGGAGUCCAAUAACGUGACUGGAAAACAAGAAUGGGAGAGGUUUCUUCAACCGCCCCCACGAGAUGUGUCCAUCGCAGUGGCCCGCAGGCAACCUCCGGAUGAUCCGCGGAGGACACUGUCAUUGUGUGAUCAGGCCGAGCUGUGGGCGAUUCCUCCGGGCGCAGCGAGGAGAGAAGGAAAGAAAAACCAACCGCUGCCACAACUCGUCCAUCAUGACGCCAGAACAUGAUAUGCCCCGACUCUCAGUCUGUCUCACCUGCUCCUCCUCGUCUUCCGCUGUUGCUGUCCGCGGCCAGGUCUGAAUUUUCAGCUAUCAAUAGGAUGCUUCCCUGCAGGAGACGAGACGGAAAGGAGGUAGAGGCGGAAAGCAACAGGGACAAGGAGAAGGAUCUGCCAAGACACAUCCAGCACAUCUCGGGCUGCUCAAACCCCGGUGAAGUACCUUUUUACCUGAUGCCAUCUAAACCCCACACUCCCUUAUUAGCCCGCCAGCCUAUAGAUGAAAACAGCGAGACCCUUUCCGAAAAAAAAAGAGGGGAGGAAAAAAAAACAAAACUACAAAGCAAAAAGGUCUUUUUGAGUCUGGCGCCGGGACGCCAUCAUGGGCGCAUCGCCGUGCUCCUCGUCGACAUCAAACGGUUGGCAGAGGGCUUGCCAACCAGCUGGUGCAGAUGGCCGGACUCAGACGGGACAUUCUAAUGAGGAGGAGGUCGGGCAUUAGUAGUCUGGGCAGGGGUUCAGUGCCCAGGAGACCGCGGCAACACACACAUACAUGCUGCAGCUCGGAGCAUCCGCAUGCAGAUUUCCAUACACGUCGACGACGAGGGUCCUUGAAGCUGUUCUGGAGUCUUGUGGUGGUGGAGAAACACACUGACCCAGCCGGUGUUGAGCCAAGGGCCCAUCUGGCUCCUAUGAGGGCCACUGCUUCACGGUGCCUCAGCCUGAUUCAUGGGCGCUGGACAGCCUCAGCUGCUAUCCCACCACCGUUUUACAUCCCAUACUGUACCUCUCCAAAAAAAACGCUGUACCUCCCAGUUCCGACCGACAACUCUCCCACUGACAGACGAGCUCUGCAGAGAGGAAUCCUUCAGAAAAAAGCUUUCACACUAACCAACAUGACGUAACCACAAAUUCGGGGCUGCCAGUUUGUCCUCAGACUCCCGGCCAAACCUCACUGCACUGGGUCGUGUAACUCCAAAGGCGAUUCUGUUGCACAAGCCGGAGCCAUGUGGCACUCAUAAAGUCUCAGAUAUGCACUCACAGGAGCACAUGGUUUUACCAAAAUGUCCAAAUGAUCUUUCACUUGUUAGAUCAUAAUAAUAAUCUUCCCAUAAGGCAUUGCAUUUGGCUCAGAAUUCCCCAGAAAGCCCUUGUUUUUCUAAUUUAAAGACUGUUACAUACUUGAGGUUUGUUUUGCAUCUUUUUAUAAAUGCAUUUCAGAUGAGUCACAUGCUCAUCUCUCAUAAAAAAUACAACAGUGCAAGUCAUGAAGGGACUUCAUGACCCCCCCCCACACACACAAUUGUCAUAAUUAUGGACAGACACUGGCCUGAAUUUGGCUGCAGGCAGCUUUCAGCAAAACUAAUAACAGUUUAAUUCUGUAGCUCACGCGGGGAAAGAGACUUGACACUGUUUUGAAAAUACAA